GGUGAGUGUUGACUGGGAUAGAAUUGGGUAUAGAAACAGAUUCUGAAGUAGAUGUAGGAGGGUUAGUAGACUCUUGAGGCUGAACAAAGAUGGUUGCAGAAGAGGUAGUGGACAAGGUACAAAAACAGUGGUAAUGGGAGAAUGAGCAGGUAAUGGUGAAAAACCAGGAGGAACAAGAGGAGCAGAGCCUGAAUUAACAGGUGAUGCUUGAGAUGUCUGAGGAAUAGAGGCAACAAAAGGUGAAGAAAGGUUAGGACUUAGACUAAAAUAGGAAUCAAGAUUUUUUGUGGAAUUAGAGGAAGAAGGAAAAAGAUCAGCAUAAGGAAAUCUCAACUCAUUAAACAGAACAUCCUUAGAGAUGUAAAUUCUACCAGAUGAUGACAAGCACU
Molecule: long non-coding RNA, 389 nt
Filed under: Glycine max (soybean)
Lineage: Eukaryota; Viridiplantae; Streptophyta; Magnoliopsida; Fabales; Fabaceae
Description: long non-coding RNA (GMAX_LNC004366)
Source: RNAcentral